ACACAUGCAGUCGAACGGGCGCCUUCGGGGUUAGUGGCGGACGGGUGAGUAACACGUGGGAACGUGCCUUUUGGUUCGGAAUAGCUCCUGGAAACGGGUGGUAAUGCCGAAUGUGCCCUUCGGGGGAAAGAUUUAUCGCCAUUAGAGCGGCCCGCGUCUGAUUAGCUAGUUGGUGAGGUAAAGGCUCACCAAGGCGACGAUCAGUAGCUGGUCUGAGAGGAUGACCAGCCACAUUGGGACUGAGACACGGCCCAAACUCCUACGGGAGGCAGCAGUGGGGAAUCUUGCGCAAUGGGCGAAAGCCUGACGCAGCCAUGCCGCGUGAAUGAUGAAGGUCUUAGGAUUGUAAAAUUCUUUCACCGGGGACGAUAAUGACGGUACCCGGAGAAGAAGCCCCGGCUAACUUCGUGCCAGCAGCCGCGGUAAUACGAAGGGGGCUAGCGUUGCUCGGAAUUACUGGGCGUAAAGGGAGCGUAGGCGGACAUUUAAGUCAGGGGUGAAAUCCCAGAGCUCAACUCUGGAACUGCCUUUGAUACUGGGUGUCUUGAGUGUGAUAGAGGUAUGUGGAACUCCGAGUGUAGAGGUGAAAUUCGUAGAUAUUCGGAAGAACACCAGUGGCGAAGGCGACAUACUGGAUCAUUACUGACGCUGAGGCUCGAAAGCGUGGGGAGCAAACAGGAUUAGAUACCCUGGUAGUCCACGCCGUAAACGAUGAUUGCUAGUUGUCGGGAUGUUUACAUCUCGGUGACGCAGCU
RNAcentral lists this ribosomal RNA (755 nucleotides) under unidentified microorganism. RNAcentral's name for it is "bacterial SSU rRNA". It matches the Rfam family "Bacterial small subunit ribosomal RNA", at positions 51 to 853 of the family's 1533-position model. The record is from RNAcentral.